GGGUUGUGAGGUUAAGCGACUAAGCGUACACGGUGGAUGCCCUGGCAGUCAGAGGCGAUGAAGGACGUGCUAAUCUGCGAUAAGCGCCGGUAAGGUGAUAUGAACCGUUAUAACCGGCGAUUUCCGAAUGGGGAAACCCAGUGUGACUCGUCACACUAUCAUUAACUGAAUCCAUAGGUUAAUGAGGCGAACCGGGGGAACUGAAACAUCUAAGUACCCCGAGGAAAAGAAAUCAAC
Molecule: ribosomal RNA, 237 nt
Filed under: Salmonella enterica subsp. enterica serovar Infantis
Lineage: Bacteria; Pseudomonadati; Pseudomonadota; Gammaproteobacteria; Enterobacterales; Enterobacteriaceae
Description: partial 23S ribosomal RNA
Rfam family: Bacterial large subunit ribosomal RNA
Source: RNAcentral